AACGAACGCUGGCGGCAGGCCUAACACAUGCAAGUCGAACGGGCGUAGCAAUACGUCAGUGGCAGACGGGUGAGUAACACGUGGGAACCUUCCUCGUAGUACGGAACAACUCAGGGAAACUUGAGCUAAUACCGUAUACGUCCGAGAGGAGAAAGAUUUAUCGCUAUGAGACGGGCCCGCGUCCGAUUAGCUAGUUGGUGGGGUAACGGCCUACCAAGGCAACGAUCGGUAGCUGAUCUGAGAGGAUGAUCAGCCACACUGGGACUGAGACACGGCC
RNAcentral lists this ribosomal RNA (277 nucleotides) under uncultured bacterium. RNAcentral describes it as "partial 16S ribosomal RNA". It matches the Rfam family "Bacterial small subunit ribosomal RNA", at positions 29 to 331 of the family's 1533-position model. The record is from RNAcentral.